UACGUAGGGUGCAAGCGUUAAUCGGAAUUACUGGGCGUAAAGCGUGCGCAGGCGGUGAUGUAAGACAGGUGUGAAAUCCCCGGGCUUAACCGGGGAACUGCAUUUGUGACUGCAUCGCUGGAGUGCGGCAGAGGGGGAUGGAAUUCCGCGUGUAGCAGUGAAAUGCGUAGAUAUGCGGAGGAACACCGAUGGCGAAGGCAAUCCCCUGGGCCUGCACUGACGCUCAUGCACGAAAGCGUGGGAAGCAAACAGG
This 253-nucleotide ribosomal RNA is filed under the name uncultured bacterium. Its description in RNAcentral is "partial 16S ribosomal RNA". It matches the Rfam family "Bacterial small subunit ribosomal RNA", at positions 524 to 776 of the family's 1533-position model. The record is from RNAcentral.